AUUGAACGCUGGCGGCAGGCCUAACACAUGCAAGUCGAGCGAGCGGCGGACGGGUGAGUAAUGUCUGGGAAACUGCCUGAUGGAGGGGGAUAACUACUGGAAACGGUAGCUAAUACCGCAUACCAUCAGAUGUGCCCAGAUGGGAUUAGCUAGUAGGUGGGGUAACGGCUCACCUAGGCGACGAUCCCUAGCUGGUCUGAGAGGAGUACCAGCCACACCGGACAGGCGACACGGUCCAGACUCCUACGGGAGUCAGCGGUGGGGAAUAUUGCACAAUGGGCGCAAGCCUUAUGCAGCCCUGCCGCGUGUGUGAAGAAGUCCUUCGGGUUUUAAAGCACUUUCAGCGGGGAGGCGUUACCCGCAGAAGAAGCACCGGCUAACUCCGUGCCAGCAGCCGCGGUAAUUC
This 406-nucleotide ribosomal RNA is filed under the name uncultured bacterium. Its description in RNAcentral is "partial 16S ribosomal RNA". It matches the Rfam family "Bacterial small subunit ribosomal RNA", at positions 30 to 526 of the family's 1533-position model. The record is from RNAcentral.